CGUACCUCUUUUAUUUGGAGAUUUAGUCCGUAGGUUACUGGUCAGAAUUUAUAUUUGUUAAGCCAGCUCUGCAGGCCGUUAGAUCAUAUUUUGAUCUUCAUCACGAGAGAAAUUUCUCUAAUAUCUCUCAUAUCGUAUUGUUAAUCGUGAAUGUCAAGCACAAACUUCACCUGUGUGGCUGGCCUGAUAGAUAGAUCCUGGGAUUAUAGUUGGUGUCACCUCACCAUCUCACCUUGGGCACGCCUUAAUGGAAGAUUGGCUUCAGUCGGCGAAUUUCUUCCGAAAUGAGUAGUGUUUGGUUGAUACAGGAUCAAGCUUAAAUAGAUGGUCUAAUUCACGAAUCCUAUAGAAUUUUCAAUCUAAUCUUAUAAAAAUAUCCAAACAGAUCUCAUAGGAUUUAGAUGCCUAUGAAUUUGUAGGUGAG
This 424-nucleotide long non-coding RNA is filed under the name Elaeis guineensis (African oil palm). RNAcentral describes it as "long non-coding RNA (EGUI_LNC005942)". The record is from RNAcentral. Lineage: Eukaryota; Viridiplantae; Streptophyta; Magnoliopsida; Arecales; Arecaceae.